GACGAACGCUGGCGGCGUGCUUAGCACAUGCAAGUCGAACGGUAAGGCCCUUCGGGGUACACGAGUGGCGAACGGGUGAGUAACACGUGGGUGAUCUGCCCUGCACUUCGGGAUAAGCCUGGGAAACUGGGUCUAAUACCGGAUAGGACCACUGCCUGCAUGGGUGGUGGUGGAAAGCUUUUGCGGUGUGGGAUGGGCCCGCGGCCUAUCAGCUUGUUGGUGGGGUGAUGGCCUACCAAGGCGACGACGGGUAGCCGGCCUGAGAGGGUGACCGGCCACACUGGGACUGAGAUACAGCCCAGACUCCUACGGGAGGCAGCAGUGGGGAAUAUUGCACAAUGGGCGCAAGCCUGAUGCAGCGACGCCGCGUGAGGGAUGACGGCCUUCGGGUUGUAAACCUCUUUCAGCACCGACGAAGCGCAAGUGACGGUAGGUGCAGAAGAAGGACCGGCCAACUACGUGCCAGCCGCCGCCGUAA
RNAcentral lists this ribosomal RNA (478 nucleotides) under uncultured bacterium. RNAcentral's name for it is "partial 16S ribosomal RNA". It matches the Rfam family "Bacterial small subunit ribosomal RNA", at positions 28 to 523 of the family's 1533-position model. The record is from RNAcentral.